AAAUUGAAGAGUUUGAUCAUGGCUCAGAUUGAACGCUGGCGGCAGGCCUAACACAUGCAAGUCGAACGGUAACAGGAAGCAGCUUGCUGCUUCGCUGACGAGUGGCGGACGGGUGAGUAAUGUCUGGGAAACUGCCUGAUGGAGGGGGAUAACUACUGGAAACGGUAGCUAAUACCGCAUAACGUCGCAAGACCAAAGAGGGGGACCUUCGGGCCUCUUGCCAUCGGAUGUGCCCAGAUGGGAUUAGCUUGUUGGUGGGGUAACGGCUCACCAAGGCGACGAUCCCUAGCUGGUCUGAGAGGAUGACCAGCCACACUGGAACUGAGACACGGUCCAGACUCCUACGGGAGGCAGCAGUGGGGAAUAUUGCACAAUGGGCGCAAGCCUGAUGCAGCCAUGCCGCGUGUAUGAAGAAGGCCUUCGGGUUGUAAAGUACUUUCAGCGGGGAGGAAGGGAGUAAAGUUAAUACCUUUGCUCAUUGACGUUACCCGCAGAAGAAGCACCGGCUAACUCCGUGCCAGCAGCCGCGGUAAUACGGAGGGUGCAAGCGUUAAUCGGAAUUACUGGGCGUAAAGCGCACGCAGGCGGUUUGUUAAGUCAGAUGUGAAAUCCCCGGGCUCAACCUGGGAACUGCAUCUGAUACUGGCAAGCUUGAGUCUCGUAGAGGGGGUAGAAUUCCAGGUGUAGCGGUGAAAUGCGUAGAGAUCUGGAGGAAUACCGGUGGCGAAGGCGGCCCCUGGACGAAGACUGACGCUCAGGUGCGAAAGCGUGGGGAGCAAACAGGAUUAGAUACCCUGGUAGUCCACGCCGUAAACGAUGUCGACUUGGAGGUUGUGCCCUUGAGGCGUGGCUUCCGGAGCUAACGCGUUAAGUCGACCGCCUGGGGAGUACGGCCGCAAGGUUAAAACUCAAAUGAAUUGACGGGGGCCCGCACAAGCGGUGGAGCAUGUGGUUUAAUUCGAUGCAACGCGAAGAACCUUACCUGGUCUUGACAUCCACGGAAGUUUUCAGAGAUGAGAAUGUGCCUUCGGGAACCGUGAGACAGGUGCUGCAUGGCUGUCGUCAGCUCGUGUUGUGAAAUGUUGGGUUAAGUCCCGCAACGAGCGCAACCCUUAUCCUUUGUUGCCAGCGGUCCGGCCGGGAACUCAAAGGAGACUGCCAGUGAUAAACUGGAGGAAGGUGGGGAUGACGUCAAGUCAUCAUGGCCCUUACGACCAGGGCUACACACGUGCUACAAUGGCGCAUACAAAGAGAAGCGACCUCGCGAGAGCAAGCGGACCUCAUAAAGUGCGUCGUAGUCCGGAUUGGAGUCUGCAACUCGACUCCAUGAAGUCGGAAUCGCUAGUAAUCGUGGAUCAGAAUGCCACGGUGAAUACGUUCCCGGGCCUUGUACACACCGCCCGUCACACCAUGGGAGUGGGUUGCAAAAGAAGUAGGUAGCUUAACCUUCGGGAGGGCGCUUACCACUUUGUGAUUCAUGACUGGGGUGAAGUCGUAACAAGGUAACCGUAGGGGAACCUGCGGUUGGAUCACCUCCUUA
Molecule: ribosomal RNA, 1540 nt
Filed under: Escherichia coli
Lineage: Bacteria; Pseudomonadati; Pseudomonadota; Gammaproteobacteria; Enterobacterales; Enterobacteriaceae
Description: bacterial SSU rRNA
Rfam family: Bacterial small subunit ribosomal RNA
Source: RNAcentral